GUCAAAGGCCAGAGCUCUGGUGGCGU
RNAcentral lists this non-coding RNA (26 nucleotides) under Homo sapiens (human). Lineage: Eukaryota; Metazoa; Chordata; Mammalia; Primates; Hominidae. The record is from RNAcentral.